RNAcentral lists this ribosomal RNA (657 nucleotides) under Cryocola sp. B11-259. RNAcentral describes it as "bacterial SSU rRNA". It matches the Rfam family "Bacterial small subunit ribosomal RNA", at positions 812 to 1467 of the family's 1533-position model. Lineage: Bacteria; Bacillati; Actinomycetota; Actinomycetes; Micrococcales; Microbacteriaceae. The record is from RNAcentral.
GGAACUAGAUGUGGGGACCAUUCCACGGUCUCCGUGUCGCAGCUAACGCAUUAAGUUCCCCGCCUGGGGAGUACGGCCGCAAGGCUAAAACUCAAAGGAAUUGACGGGGGCCCGCACAAGCGGCGGAGCAUGCGGAUUAAUUCGAUGCAACGCGAAGAACCUUACCAAGGCUUGACAUAUACCGGAAACGUCUGGAAACAGUCGCCCCGCAAGGUCGGUAUACAGGUGGUGCAUGGUUGUCGUCAGCUCGUGUCGUGAGAUGUUGGGUUAAGUCCCGCAACGAGCGCAACCCUCGUUCUAUGUUGCCAGCACGUAAUGGUGGGAACUCAUGGAAGACUGCCGGGGUCAACUCGGAGGAAGGUGGGGAUGACGUCAAAUCAUCAUGCCCCUUAUGUCUUGGGCUUCACGCAUGCUACAAUGGCCGGUACAAAGGGCUGCAAUACCGUAAGGUGGAGCGAAUCCCAAAAAGCCGGUCUCAGUUCGGAUUGAGGUCUGCAACUCGACCUCAUGAAGUCGGAGUCGCUAGUAAUCGCAGAUCAGCAACGCUGCGGUGAAUACGUUCCCGGGCCUUGUACACACCGCCCGUCAAGUCAUGAAAGUCGGUAACACCCGAAGCCAGUGGCCUAACCCUUGUGGAUGGAGCUGUCUAAGGUGGGA